Molecule: ribosomal RNA, 1638 nt
Filed under: Salmonella enterica subsp. enterica serovar Newport
Lineage: Bacteria; Pseudomonadati; Pseudomonadota; Gammaproteobacteria; Enterobacterales; Enterobacteriaceae
Description: partial 23S ribosomal RNA
Rfam family: Bacterial large subunit ribosomal RNA
Source: RNAcentral
AAUCCAUAGGUUAAUGAGGCGAACCGGGGGAACUGAAACAUCUAAGUACCCCGAGGAAAAGAAAUCAACCGAGAUUCCCCCAGUAGCGGCGAGCGAACGGGGAGGAGCCCAGAGCCUGAAUCAGCAUGUGUGUUAGUGGAAGCGUCUGGAAAGGCGCGCGAUACAGGGUGACAGCCCCGUACACAAAAGCGCAUGUGCUGUGAGCUCGAUGAGUAGGGCGGGACACGUGGUAUCCUGUCUGAAUAUGGGGGGACCAUCCUCCAAGGCUAAAUACUCCUGACUGACCGAUAGUGAACCAGUACCGUGAGGGAAAGGCGAAAAGAACCCCGGCGAGGGGAGUGAAAAAGAACCUGAAACCGUGUACGUACAAGCAGUGGGAGCACAGGUUUACCUGUGUGACUGCGUACCUUUUGUAUAAUGGGUCAGCGACUUAUAUUCUGUAGCAAGGUUAACCGAAUAGGGGAGCCGGAGGGAAACCGAGUCUUAAUUGGGCGUUAAGUUGCAGGGUAUAGACCCGAAACCCGGUGAUCUAGCCAUGGGCAGGUUGAAGGUUGGGUAACACUAACUGGAGGACCGAACCGACUAAUGUUGAAAAAUUAGCGGAUGACCUGUGGCUGGGGGUGAAAGGCCAAUCAAACCGGGAGAUAGCUGGUUCUCCCCGAAAGCUAUUUAGGUAGCGCCUCGUGAAUUCAUCUCCGGGGGUAGAGCACUGUUUCGGCUAGGGGGCCAUCCCGGCUUACCAACCCGAUGCAAACUGCGAAUACCGGAGAAUGUUAUCACGGGAGACACACGGCGGGUGCUAACGUCCGUCGUGAAGAGGGAAACAACCCAGACCGCCAGCUAAGGUCCCAAAGUCAUGGUUAAGUGGGAAACGAUGUGGGAAGGCCCAGACAGCCAGGAUGUUGGCUUAGAAGCAGCCAUCAUUUAAAGAAAGCGUAAUAGCUCACUGGUCGAGUCGGCCUGCGCGGAAGAUGUAACGGGGCUAAACCAUGCACCGAAGCUGCGGCAGCGAACGUAUCACUUAAAGCGAUUCAGCGGGUUACGAUUGACGGAGCGAAGCGACGUCAAAGCGUAUACAAAGUCGAGUCGGUUUAAGGAUACGUUCGUUGGGUAGGGGAGCGUUCUGUAAGCCUGUGAAGGUGGCCUGUGAGGGUUGCUGGAGGUAUCAGAAGUGCGAAUGCUGACAUAAGUAACGAUAAAGCGGGUGAAAAGCCCGCUCGCCGGAAGACCAAGGGUUCCUGUCCAACGUUAAUCGGGGCAGGGUGAGUCGACCCCUAAGGCGAGGCCGAAAGGCGUAGUCGAUGGGAAACAGGUUAAUAUUCCUGUACUUGGUGUUACUGCGAAGGGGGGACGGAGAAGGCUAUGUUGGCCGGGCGACGGUUGUCCCGGUUUAAGCGUGUAGGCUGGUUUUCCAGGCAAAUCCGGAAAAUCAAGGCUGAGGCGUGAUGACGAGGCACUACGGUGCUGAAGCAACAAAUGCCCUGCUUCCAGGAAAAGCCUCUAAGCAUCAGGUAACAUCAAAUCGUACCCCAAACCGACACAGGUGGUCAGGUAGAGAAUACCAAGGCGCUUGAGAGAACUCGGGUGAAGGAACUAGGCAAAAUGGUGCCGUAACUUCGGGAGAAGGCACGCUGACAC